GUAUAUAAAAUCUAAAAGAUAUUGAAGAUAAAAUCAGCAUGCAUGCAUAUGAGCAGUAGAUCACAUCUACUUCUAAUCUAAAUUCAAAACUUGAUACCUGAGUAUGGGUUGAUGAUCGCCACUGUUGAGAUACAUGGUAGAGAGUAUCCUUGUUGGUUGCUCACAGUCACACACACGUCUGGUCUCUAUGAAAAAUUCACUCGAAGCCCU
RNAcentral lists this long non-coding RNA (210 nucleotides) under Elaeis guineensis (African oil palm). RNAcentral's name for it is "long non-coding RNA (EGUI_LNC065002)". Lineage: Eukaryota; Viridiplantae; Streptophyta; Magnoliopsida; Arecales; Arecaceae. The record is from RNAcentral.